UACUUUCAACCAGCUCUGCUUUCAACAGCUUCAUCACUGCGAUGGGUUAUUUAAUUUUGGUACACUUUCCCCACAAAUAUGCUUUGUUGUACUUUUGGAUGUACUUCUCCGUAUUCUGUAAGGACCUCUGCGGUUUUGGCAAAACAACAAACCACACUUCACCUGGAAAACACAGCCAGGACUCACUGUCAGAUGUCUGAAAAUGUACAGUACACGCCAGCAGGUCUCACCAUAGUCAACAUCAUUAAGGAUUUGGCUCUCUGACCUGAGAAGAGGCCCCAUAAACACACCUGACAAGGACCAGCCACUGUUGCCACUGCACAACUGAGGACCUGACCAGCCUGCUGCCAUCUAUGAUACUAUAUAGUACACGGUAUGUAACAUUACACUACACUCA
Molecule: long non-coding RNA, 397 nt
Organism: Engraulis encrasicolus (European anchovy)
Lineage: Eukaryota; Metazoa; Chordata; Actinopteri; Clupeiformes; Engraulidae
Exons: 3
Source: RefSeq, a predicted model, not a curated record